AGCUCCAAUAGCGUAUACUAAAGUUGUUGCAGUUAAAAAGCUCGUAGUCGGAUUUCUGCGCGGGCAGGGCAGCCAGUGCCGCUUUUGGCUCAGCGCUAGCAACGCCCGCGCAUCCUGCCGCGAACGUCGCUACCAUUAGUUUGGUGGCGCCUCGGGAGCGGCUCCUUUACUUUGAAAAAAUAGCGUGUUCAAAGCAGUCCAUAACUCCGCCUUGAAUAAUGCAGCAUGGAAUAAUGACUAAGGACUUCGGUUCUAUUUUGUUGGUGUUCCGGGACUGAAGUAAUGAUUGAUAGGGACGGUUGGGGGCCUCCGUAUUUCGGAGCGAGAGGUGAAAUUCUUAGACCUCCGGAAGACGAACCGCUGCGAAAGCGUUGGCCAAGGACGUGCCCU
RNAcentral lists this ribosomal RNA (390 nucleotides) under uncultured eukaryote. RNAcentral describes it as "SSU rRNA". It matches the Rfam family "Eukaryotic small subunit ribosomal RNA", at positions 587 to 972 of the family's 1831-position model. The record is from RNAcentral.